UGGGGAAUAUUGCACAAUGGGCGCAAGCCUGAUGCAGCCAUGCCGCGUGUAUGAAGAAGGCCUUCGGGUUGUAAAGUACUUUCAGCGAGGAGGAAGGUGUUGUGGUUAAUAACCGCAGCAAUUGACGUUACUCGCAGAAGAAGCACCGGCUAACUCCGUGCCAAGCAGCCGCGGUAAUACGGAGGGUUGCAAGCGUUAAUCGGAAUUACUGGGCGUAAAGCGCACGCAGGCGGUCUGUCAAGUCGGAUGUGAAAUCCCCGGGCUCAAGCCUGGGAACUGCAUCCGAAACUGGCAGGCUAGAGUCUUGUAGAGGGGGUAGAAUUCCAGGUGUAGCGGUGAAAUUGCGUAGAGAUCUGGAGGAAUACCGGUGGCGAAGGCGGCCCCCUGACAAAGACUGACGCUCAGGUGCGAAAGCGUGGGAGCAAAC
This 427-nucleotide ribosomal RNA is filed under the name uncultured Enterobacteriaceae bacterium. Its description in RNAcentral is "bacterial SSU rRNA". It matches the Rfam family "Bacterial small subunit ribosomal RNA", at positions 355 to 773 of the family's 1533-position model. The record is from RNAcentral. Lineage: Bacteria; Pseudomonadati; Pseudomonadota; Gammaproteobacteria; Enterobacterales; Enterobacteriaceae.